This 6478-nucleotide long non-coding RNA is filed under the name Sus scrofa (pig). RNAcentral's name for it is "lncRNA (ENSSSCG00050058907.1)". The record is from RNAcentral. Lineage: Eukaryota; Metazoa; Chordata; Mammalia; Artiodactyla; Suidae.
UUUUUUUUUUUUUUUCUCACUCUUCAAUGCAGGCUUUUAGUCUCUCACUCUGGUUUGUACAAACAAUUGGGUCUGCACAUUGCAUGAAAAUAGAAGAAGUUUAAGGUUUGCUUAGUUUCGAGACUAUUUAACCUUAACUAGUGGUAAAGGAACAAGAAGCUCUCUGUGUGGCCUGGCUUGGCUUACUAUGCUCUGCCAUGUGAAAUUUGAGGCCAAAGUGCCAGAUGAUACUAAAGAGGGGCUUUGUCCUCCUUUGUCUUUAUCAUCUGUUUAUCCUAGGAACCUCAACAUGGUCAAGCAUGGCUGGGCCGAGGCGGGUUUCCAGGCCAAUCUAUAUUUUUGCUGUCAUACAAAUGCUAUUCUUGAACAGGAUCCCAAACCUACUGCCCCCAAAGAGUUGGAAAUGGAAAAUUAAAUUAUCCCAUCUUCUGAUCUUGCAGCCCUGAUGUCAUCUUCAAUUCAUCUUUUUAUUUUGUCUUCCAUUCGAUCAGCCCCUUAAGUCCUGUUAAUUCUAUCUUACCAAUCCCUUUUAUAUACCACCUUCGCUUGUCUCAGCCCCGCUAGCAUCACUGGCAUCUUUUACAUGCUCACCAUCUUACAUGUGGGUUAUUUAAGCAAUUUCCUAACUGGACAUUCUCAGUCUAUCCUCAUGGUACCCCUAAAUGUGCUUCAUAACACACCACUCAAAUCUUGUCUUCUCCUUACUCAGGAACUCCAUGGGUGCAUUAUUUAUAUCAGAAUCCCUAGGCUGGGACCAACAGACCAAGUCCGGCUUGCUGAAAUGCAAUGUUUUUCAAAAUUGGCUACCAAAGGGGAAAGGUUGGGGGGGAUCAAUUGGGAGCUUAGGGUGGCAUAUGCACACUAUGGUAUAUGGAAUGGAUGUCAGUGGGGACCUGCUGUACCGCACAGGGAACUGUACUCAGUGUUCUGUGAUAACCUAUACGGCAAUGGAUGUGUGUAUAUGUAAAACUGAAUCACUUUGCUAUACAGCAGAAAUUAACACAACCUUGUAAAUGAACUAUACUUCGAUAAAAUAUAAAAAUAAAAAAGAAAUACACUGCUUUUGGUUAAUAAUUAAAGAUAGAAAUGAACAAAACUGGCAUGGAUAUUCAAAUAUUGGGAAGGUCCUAGGAAAGAUCGAUUUCCAGACUUACCUGAAAAUUUAAAAGAUGUGAUGACCAUGUAUCAAAAUUUCCGAAUGGCAGUUCUCAGCUGGAGGUAAUUUGGGGGGUUUUAAGUGAUCAGUGCACCCUCAAAGUCACUUUAAAGUCCCCUCUCCACACAAUGGAUGCAUGUGUAUGUUCCCUGGCAAAUUUUCUGCUCACAGGCUGAUUCCUCUUAGCGAGAUUGGAUUCUCUCUCAUGAAUGAAAUCCAGACUUCUUAAUCUGGUGUUUGAGGACUCGACAACUGUGGUAAGCUAAGCAAUAUCCUCACGUUAUGUCCAUGCCCUAAUCCUCAGAAGCUGUGAAUGGAUUCUUUAGCAUAGCAGAAGGCACUUUGUGGUUAUGAUUAUGUUAAGGGGUUUGAGAUAGGGAUAUUAUCCUAUAUCCUGCAUGGACCCAGGUUAAUCUUGAGGAUCCUUAAAAGAGGGAGGCAGGAGGAACACAGGUCAGAGAGAGCAGAUUGAACACUCUUCUUCCAGUGCCAUGUCAUUUUCAGAUGCCUAUAAUUUGCCUGAACAUCUAUUGGAUUGUUCACUUCCCUACCUCCAUGAGUCCAGAGUCUCCCCAGCUUCCAAAUGCCACCUCCUUUUGGGAUUUUACUCCUUUCCAUCCUUGGAAUUUUACCUGGUAAGAGAGUUUCAUGUUUUAAUCUCACCUACCUACCAUUUUAUCACAUUCUUACAAUGCACCAUGCUGUGUAUUUUUACCUUACCUUAAUUAUCUUAUACAACUCUUUCAAUGCCAGCUCCUGCAUGAGGAUACCCAUAUGCCAGCACCUCAGCCUGCAAUCCCAAGUCCUGCCAGGGCCUCUUAAAAUUCCAGAAGAUGCCCACACAACCCCUGGAAGAAGGCUUUGGGCUAUGUAGGUAAGGCGUUCCAUUUACACAGAGUAUGGAUUAGAAGUUGGGCAUGGGUUCUGGUUAUGCAUUGCCUUAAAACCCUUAGCCUUUGAGAAAGGGCACAGCCAGAUGAGGGCCAGAGUAGAACUCUCCCAAGCAUAUAGCCUGGGUCAGAGCUUUCUCUUUUCUGGUCUAUGGGAAGUAAUUUAGAAGUCUCAUUUUUAUAGCUUGCUUCUCAACCAGUUCUGAAAGAACUACAAUCAGAGGAGGGAAUAGAAAGGAGACUUGAGUUUCCUUCCUGCAUACUGUAUGCUUGAUAUCAAGCUGAGGGCUCUACACAUGUUCUCUCACCUGAUCCUCAAGACCUUUGAGAAAGAUACUGAAUUCAGAUUCAAAAAGUAGAUUCCAGGUAGCAUAAGUUAUUUGGUCAAUGUCACAUGACCUAUAAAUGGUAGAGUUGGGAUUUGAACUCAUACCUGUCCAACCUGAACUGCCAUGCUUAUUUGUCAAUGCACUGACUCAUUUAAGUGUUUUAUUGAGGACCUAAUAUUUGGCAGGGAUUUCACAGAUUGCUGGAGAUACGAUGUGAGAAAAUCGGAUAUUGUCUAUGACCUCAUGGAGUUUCCAAUCUCCCGAGACCAUCACAGAAGCAAGUAGCAUUUCCAUUUGACAUUUGCUAACGGAAGCAGGUAGUACACUUUCGUUUCAUGAUGUCAACUCAAAGCGCUAAGGGCAGACCUUAGGAGGGUAUGACAAGCUGUGGGAAAGCAUGCUUUCAAGAGUAGGGAAGGACUUAGGACCUCUCAAAUCAUGUUAGAUCAGGCUAUUAAGCCCCAUUUAUAAGACUACCCAACUUACAGAAAUAUACUAUCAGCACAUGCUCCUGAAUAUAACCCUGCAUUAUGGGGCUUAUAGAGUGUUUGCUUAUUGCACUUCUCAGAGUAGAAUUGUCACUAUUAGAAAACUUGCAAGUGUUUGGUGGUGUGAUAGAAUUAAAUUUAUUAACUUACUGUGGCAUUGAACUUGCUCUAUCAUCAGGACAAACAUGAACAUUAUAUUUAGCAUGAUAUUUUGGAAGUGUUCAGGUAAAGUAUAACCUACUGAAACCCAGUCUCAGUCAGGCAGGUUGACACCAGUUUUUGCAAAGGUUUUUGUUAUUGUUUGUUAGUUUUGGUUUUUAAUUAUACACAGAAGAGCGACAAUGUAAGGUAAGUUGUUCAAGGUCACAGAGCAAAUCGAGGGCCAAGGUGGAUAAGGAUGUAGAAAUGAAGGGUUAUAAACUUCUGACUCCUGAAUGUGUGUGUGUGUGUGUGUGUGUGUGUGUGUGUGUGUGUGUGUGUGUAAUCCUUCACUCUGCCUUUCAUUUAACAUUUGACAAAGAAAGAAGAAAAGACUUGAGGAUCUGCAUAUGGUGUGAGGAGUGAGUUCAGUUCUGCUUUUAAUUGAAAGCUCUGAGGGCCAAGCUUGCAGAGCCGGGUAACAGCUGUAGUGCACGCCACUGCCCCGUCACGCUUGUGUUGCCAUAAUAGACAGGCUUAUUAUUUUUUAAUUAGGAGCUUCAGUGUUUUGUUAAACUGCAAAUGUGUCAGGACCUGGGGAUUUGGUUUUACACUCAACCGUCUUGCAUUUAAUCUUUCUGGAAGCUUUUGGGAGACGCAGGGUCAGUUUGUAAAAGGCAUUUCGUUAUUGUGGAAUAACAAUAGUUAACAUUCACUGUGCAUUUGCCAUUUUCCAGGCAUUAGGGUGAAUACUAUUUGAAUUCAUUUAUCAACUAACCCACCAACCACUGAACCGAUACAUAUUCCUUGAGCUCCCAUCAUGGAUCAGUGGCGAUGUUAGGCAUUUUGGUGGAUAGAUAAGAGAUGAAUAAAGCCCAUCCAGAAUCACUCCUCUGGGACGUUAUAAAAACAUAAAAUAUACAUGUAUAUAAAUGGCAUAGAAAAUGCUCUGUGAUUAGCACUGUCAGGGAAGAAUAGUUCAGAGUCUUCCUCACAGGCUCACUCAUCCAUCCCCAAAUUCCCUCCAUCUGAAAGCAAGGCACCUCCAACCACCCAUGCACUUGCCUGGGGCACAAUGCUGUGGUCAUUCUGGAUUUCUUCCUUCCCUCCCCCCUUACAUCACAUCUACCACCAAGUACCGCCUAUCUGACCUCUAAAAUAUGCCUCAAAGUCGUCUAUUCUUCUCCUUCCUUCUGGAUCCCAACUUCAGCUUCUUGCCUGUAGUGCCUUCAGUAAACUCUCAAUUGGUUACCACUACCAUUACCACUCUUGCUCCUUCUAAUACAUUCUUCAUGCUCUGGCCAGUGUGAUUUUGCUAAAAUACAGGUCAGAUUAUGUUUCCUUCUGCUCAGGAAUUUUUAGUUAUACCCCACUGCAUCUGUUCAUGCCCUUUAAGGCCCUGACUUACCUGUCCCUCUUCAUUAUUCCCCAGCCCUGUUAAUAUUCUUUGGUUCCUUCCAAGUACCUCAGGUACUUCCAAGGGCUAUUCCCUCUGCCUUGGAUGCUUUGUCAGCAGUUGCUACAUGGCCUUCAUUUUUCAGCUUGAAUUCUCUUUCUCCGUGGAUAUCUCCCCAGCUCUCAAAUUAAAAGCAGAUCUCCAGAUGGCCAAGAGACACACAAAAGGAUGCUUAACCUUGUGAAUUAUUAGAGAAAUGCAAAUCAAAACUAAAAUGAGGUGUUCCAUCGUGGCGCAGUGGUUAACAAAUCCGACUAGGAACCAUGAGGUUGCGGGUUCGAUCCCUGGCCUCACUCAGUGGGUUAAGGAUCCAGUGUUGCCGUGAGCUGUGGUGUAGGUUGCAGACGCGGCUCAGAUCCUGAGUUGCUGUGGCUCUGGUGUAGGCCAGCAGCUACAGCUGCGAUUCAACCCCUAGCCUGGGAUCCUCCAUAUGCCUCGGGAACGGCCUAAGAAAUGCCGAAAAAGACCAAAAAAAAAAAAAAAAAAACUACAACGAGGUAUCACCUCACAUCCAUCAGAAUUUCCAUCAUCAAAAAGUCUACAAAUAAUAAGUGCUGGAGAAGGUAUUGAGAAAAGGGACUCUCCUACACACUAUUAGUGGAAAUGUAAAUUGGUGCAGCCACUAUGGAAAAUAGUAUGGAGUUUCCUUGAUAAAGCUAGAAUUACCACUUCACUUCAGCAAUCUCACUUCUGGGUAUAUAUCUAGAAAAGGCAAAAACUCUAAUUCAAAAAGAUACGUGCACCUCAACGUUCUUCAUAGAAGCGCUAUUAACAACAGCCAAGACAUGGAAGCAACCUAAACCUCCAUCAGCAAGUGAACAGCUAUUCCACUGUGUGCACACACCACUUCUUCUUUAUAUGGUGUGUGUACACAAUGGAAUAUUACUCAGCCAUAAAAAGAAUGAAAUACCAUUUGCAACGAUGAAAAUUGACCUAGAGAUUAUCAUACUAAGUCAGACAAAGACAAAUAUCACAUGAUAUCACUUACGUGUAGAAUCUAAAAAAUAGUACAAAUGAACUUAUUUUCAAAACAGAAACAGAAUCACAGACAUAGAAAACAACCCUCUAGUUACCAAGGGGGAAAGUGAGGGAGGGCUAAGUUAGUAUGGGAUUAACUGAUACACAUUACUAUAUAUAAAAUAGCUAAAUAACAAGGCUUUAAUGUAUGUCACAGGGAACUAUAUUCAAUAUCUAAUAAUAACCUAUAAAAAAUAAUAAAAAAGAAUAUAUAGGAGUUCCCAUAAUGGUGCAACAGAAAGGAACCUGAUUAGUAACCAUGAAGUUGCGGGUUCGAACCCGGGCCUUGCUCAGUGAGUUAAGGAUCCAGCAUUGCCGUGAGCUGUGGUAUAGGUUGCAGACACUGCUUGGAUCUGGUGUAGCUGUAGCUGUGGUGUAGGCUGGCACCUGUAGCUCCGAUUAGACCCCUAGCCUGGGAACCUCCAUAUGCUGUGGGUAUGGCCUUAAAAAGACAAAAGACAAAAAAAAAAGAAUAUAUGUAGAUAUACAAUAUAUAUGCACAUAUAACUGAAUCACUUUACUGUUUACCUGAAACUAACACAAUACUAUAAAUCAACUAUACUUCAAUAAAAAAUUUUGAAAUGGAUAUCUAUUAUCUAUUUUUUAAAUGGAUAUUGAUCAUGCUAUUUCUUUUUCAUAGCACACACUGUGUCCUGUAAUCAUGUAUGUUGCCGUGUAAUUUUUUGUAUAUUACAUAUUUAAUGUCCAUGUCUUGCACCAGAAUUUCAAUUUCACCCAGUCUCAUGUCUAGAACAGAACUGGAGUCAUAUUUGGCGUUCUAUCAAUAUUUGCUGCAGGAAUGAAAGAAUGAAUACAUAAAGAGGGAAUGGAACUUCUGCACAUUCAGAGGAAAGACAGAAACUACGUGUGCUAAUACAGACUAGGUAGGGAUGAGAAGGAAGUGGAAUUGUCAGUUUGAUCCUGAAAGAUCCAGUAAGACUAGAGUCCAUAGACGAUCGGGGAAGGAACUCUGAACAGAAAAUAUAAAUGUAAUUUUUUACUCU